This is a long non-coding RNA of Homo sapiens (human), 1134 nucleotides long. Ensembl annotates it as long intergenic non-protein coding RNA 1362. The record is from Ensembl. Lineage: Eukaryota; Metazoa; Chordata; Mammalia; Primates; Hominidae.
GCAUUUGAGAAUUUAAGUCACUUGACCAAAGUCAGACAACAGUGAUUAUAUUACUACAGUGAUUCUGGAGUGUUCUCAACAAAUAAUAACCUCAGAAACAAGUAGGCACUUGGAGACAUUGGGCUGUGGAUUCAGGUUGCCUAGGUUUGAAUCCUAGUCCCAACAUUUACUAAGGCUCUCUGAUAGUGGGCACAUUAUUUAACUUCCUCAGACCUGUUUCCCCAUCUACAAAAUUGGAUUACCUAUGCUCCAAGAGAGAGGCCAUGUGGGUACACCAUGAGAAGUCUGUCAUCUACAGGAAAGGAAGAGAGCCCUCCCAGGAAACUGACUUUGCCAGACUUUGACCUGGAACGUCUAUUCUCCAGAACUGUCACAAAUGAAGAUUCUGAAAGAGAAGACAGAAUCACUGAGAGAAACUGGGAAGAGCCUCAACAUGAAGAUGAUGAAAAUGGAGACCUUCAUCGUGAUCCACUUCUAAUUAAUGAAUAGGAGGCUUGGGCCGAACUGGGUGAUCAGACAUCAUACACAGAGAAGGAGCAAGAGAGAGAUUACACAGAGGAGGAACAAGGUGUGCAGCGGACAGCCAGUGCCAAGACCUCAGACACAUGACAAGCAAUAGUAGCCAGAAUCCUGGAGUGAAUAGACAUGGAGAAGAGCUGCCUUUUCUUCUCAACUGACAAGUCACGUGGAGGAAAUAAAUCCCUUGAGGACAGUGAAGAAAUAACUUUGAGAUCACCUUCCCAUCCUUCCGAUUUCUUCAAUGAGAGCUUAAAUGGAUUUUCAAAAAAUCAGAGAGCUUGGACAAAAAGUUGAAACAAGUUCAUAUCCUAAGCAUGAUGAAUAAGCCAUGGCAGCUUACACAGACUUGAAGGCCAACCACCUAUGGGCUAGCACAAAGGAGUUCAGCCUUUUUUGAAGUGGGUGGUUUGACCUCUCUUUAUUGUGGAAGCAAAGCAAAUGGCCCCAAACCAUCUGGAUCUGCUGUUAUCACUAGAGGAAUUAUUGCCCAGAAUGUGGACCAAAGGUUAGAAGACUCCACAUUGGAAUCCUGGGUCCGCCGUUAAAUAAUGAGGAACAAGCACUACCUCAUAAGAUCUUACCCUCAUCAUUUAUAAAGUGAUGAUUUAAAAAUAA